GUCUUACACUGCUCUGGGCUGGCCUUCUGGGCAAGAUGUGUCUUUGCGCUAACUCCUGCCCAUUCAAAUGGCAGUGCUAGAGAGAGAGAGAGAGAGGAAGUGGAAAGUUUCUUUCUACAUCAGCCAAAGAUAAACACAACAGACACAACCAGCAAGCUAUUGCUUGUAACAGAUAAACUGUUGUGGAAGCAGGGACCACAUUUUCUGGAAAUGUCUACAGAACAAGCAUCAUUAUAAGUUAUUGGCUCUAAAUGAACUCCAAGCGAAAAGAGAAAACAAAGUGAGAAAAAGACUGCCCAUAACUAAUUCAGAUACCCGAUCAACAUUGGAAUUCAUUUUGAAAGGUGGUAACCAUUGAAAGAUCUGAAAGGGUGGAAAAGUGACACCAAAAUGGCCACCAUUCUCAUGGACAGGGAGAUACUGCUGGAGUCUGAUUUCGAGGAACCUGGCUGAGGCUGUAAGUGGUGUGGAAUUGCAAAACUUAAUGCUAAGAGGAUGCCGGUGGGCGGAGUUGGGAGGGUCGUCAGCUACAUGGGAAACACCUGGGCCCGGGUGUGUCCCAGGAUAAAGGCGCCUCUUCCACAUUCAUUGGGGAGACUCUCUCCAUGCAGACACCUUUUUGUUUUUGGUUGUGCUAGUUGUGGCUUUUUGGUUGUUUGCUUUGGCACUCUUCAACACCCUGCAUUAUUACAUUUAUGCAUGCAAACACUCACUUACACUACUGAUUACUGAUUACACACACCAUUGUUAAUUACUUAGUUACUUUAUUUAAUAAAUAUAUAUUUUGAUACUCCUUGUCUCCACGUGGUCUCCCUUUUGUUGCGAACUCAGAGCCGGUUCGUAACACUCCCAAUCAGCAACAACGAACUACAGCUGUGCCUGAUUGGGAGCCACACAUGGCCAAACCAAAGAAAC
RNAcentral lists this long non-coding RNA (915 nucleotides) under Salmo salar (Atlantic salmon). Its description in RNAcentral is "lncRNA (ENSSSAG00000087686.1, ENSSSAG00020076982.1)". The record is from RNAcentral. Lineage: Eukaryota; Metazoa; Chordata; Actinopteri; Salmoniformes; Salmonidae.